This 101-nucleotide microRNA precursor is filed under the name Manihot esculenta (cassava). The record is from RNAcentral. Lineage: Eukaryota; Viridiplantae; Streptophyta; Magnoliopsida; Malpighiales; Euphorbiaceae.
AAAGUGGUAUGCAGCCAAGGAUGACUUGCCGACCAGUGGCCUAUUCAAGAAGAAGCAAAAGACCAAGUUGGCAAGUUGUCCUUGGCUACAUGGUUCUUUGU